This 447-nucleotide ribosomal RNA is filed under the name uncultured bacterium. RNAcentral's name for it is "bacterial SSU rRNA". It matches the Rfam family "Bacterial small subunit ribosomal RNA", at positions 355 to 825 of the family's 1533-position model. The record is from RNAcentral.
UCGGGAAUUUUGGGCAAUGGGCGAAAGCCUGACCCAGCAACGCCGCGUGAAGGAUGAAGUAUUUCGGUAUGUAAACUUCGAAAGAAUAAGAAGAAUAAAUGACGGUACUAUUUAUAAGGUCCGGCUAACUACGUGCCAGCAGCCGCGGUAAUACGUAGGGACCAAGCGUUGUUCGGAUUUACUGGGCGUAAAGGGCGCGUAGGCGGCAAUUCAAGUCAUCUGUGAAAUCUCCGGGCUUAACUCGGAACGGUCAGAUGAUACUGCUUUGCUAGAGUGCAGAAGGGGCAAUCGGAAUUCUUGGUGUAGCGGUGAAAUGCGUAGAUAUCAAGAGGAACACCUGAGGUGAAGACGGGUUGCUGGGCUGACACUGACGCUGAGGCGCGAAAGCCAGGGGAGCAAACGGGAUUAGAUACCCCCGUAGUCCCUGAGCGGGCUGGCAAGGCGCAU